UUUCUAUUCCUAUUCAAUUCUAAAUAUGAUUGUAUAAACCUAUUCCUAUUCUACUAGGAUUGUAUAAACCUAUUCCUAUUCUAAUAGGAUUGUAUAAACCUAUUCCUAUUCUAAUAGGAUUGUAUAAACCUAUUCCUAUUCUAAUAGGAUUGUAUAAACCUAUUCCUAUUCUAAUAGGAUUGUAUAAACCUAUUCCUAUUCUAAUAGGAUUGUAUAAACCUAUUCCUAUUCUAAUAGGAUUGUAUAAACCUAUUCCUAUUCUAAUAGGAUUGUAUAAACCUAUUCCUAUUCUAAUAGGAUUGUAUAAACCUAUUUAUAUUCUAACACUCCCCCUCAAGCUAGUGCAUACAAUUCAUGUACCUAGCUUGUUACAAAUGUAAUUAACACGAGGACCGAUGAGGGACUUGGUGAGAUAUCUGCAAGUUGAUCAGUCGACUUCACAAAAUUGACA
This 451-nucleotide long non-coding RNA is filed under the name Solanum tuberosum (potato). Its description in RNAcentral is "long non-coding RNA (STUB_LNC006422)". The record is from RNAcentral. Lineage: Eukaryota; Viridiplantae; Streptophyta; Magnoliopsida; Solanales; Solanaceae.